This 492-nucleotide ribosomal RNA is filed under the name uncultured bacterium. Its description in RNAcentral is "partial 16S ribosomal RNA". It matches the Rfam family "Bacterial small subunit ribosomal RNA", at positions 29 to 507 of the family's 1533-position model. The record is from RNAcentral.
AGUGAACGCUGGCGGUAGGCCUAACACAUGCCAGUCGAACGGCAGCACAGUAAGAGCUUGCUCUUACGGGUGGCGAGUGGCGGACGGGUGAGGAAUACAUCGGAAUCUACUUUUUCGUGGGGGAUAACGUAGGGAAACUUACGCUAAUACCGCAUACGACCUACGGGUGAAAGCAGGGGAUCUUCGGACCUUGCGCGAUUGAAUGAGCCGAUGUCGGAUUAGCUAGUUGGCGGGGUAAAGGCCCACCAAGGCGACGAUCCGUAGCUGGUCUGAGAGGAUGAUCAGCCACACGGGAACUGAGACACGGUCCAGACUCCUACGGGAGGCAGCAGUGGGGAAUAUUGGACAAUGGGCGCGAGCCUGAUCCAGCCAUACCGCGUGGGUGAAGAAGGCCUUCGGGUUGUAAAGCCCUUUUGUUGGGAAAGAAAAGCAGCAGGUUAAUACCCCGCUGUUCUGACGGUACCCAAAGAAUAAGCACCGGCUAACUUCGUG